Leptidea sinapis is the source of this 757-nucleotide long non-coding RNA. RefSeq lists it as uncharacterized. The transcript has 4 exons. Lineage: Eukaryota; Metazoa; Arthropoda; Insecta; Lepidoptera; Pieridae. The record is from RefSeq and is a predicted model, not a curated record.
CUCACUAGCGACUCGAAAUUUAAACAACUCAUAUACUAAAAGAUUUUCUGUCAAAAAUGAACGGCAUAAAGCGUGUUUGGAAGUACGCGUUUGUUAUAGCUAUCGCGUUCGGUGUUGCUAGUGAGUGCACAAAUAUUUGUCAUAGCGAAAACUGUGAUUAUUCAGUCAGGAACGAAACAAGAGUGUUGUCUAGAAGCAAAAGGUUUUUAGUGUUCCCAGACGGCAGCUCGCUCCAACUAGUAUUUUGCGUCCAAACAUCAGCAGUCAUACCAAUUGGCGAUAUAUUUCUGUAUGGAAACACAGCAGCAUUGGCGUGGAACUUGCCAACAGAUCCAAAUUUCCUUCGUAUGUUUAAAGAAUAUGAGAAGUACCCACAAAGAAGAGGUGACACGAAAAAUGUUUACUAUUUGGAUGAAGAUGGAAGGGUUAUGGCGAAAGUGCCUUUCACCAGGCCGUCAAUUGUAAACCCUGCAUUCGCAAAACGGAGCGUAAACGACAAAAGCUUCAAAGAGCGAUUGAAAAUUAAAAUAGACCGAAUGAAAAUGCACGAACGACAGAAAAGGCAGUCUCUCAAAAAAGACCUGAAUGAGGAUAGUAUCUCGUUCCACAGAGAUAGCCGCGUUGAGCUGUACCAGAAACUGGAGACAUUAAUUACAACGUUGGGCGGGGAAGGAAGGCAGUGCGUUCUUCGCAAACUAUGCGAGUCGGCGAAACUCACAGGCGUUCAGGGAACAUUCUUACAGGAGGUUAUUCGUGU